ACAAAAUGAAUAUGCGAAAGGCACAAUUAUAUCAUAUAAAUAAUUUACAAGGUUAAUUGUAACUAAGUGCAAGUAGUUUGCGUAAUCAUAUCAGCAAGGUGAAAUUUUUGUUUUAACUAUAUGCAAUUGGUGCUGUGAAAAGUUAAUUUAUUGUACUGCUGGAAAUAGAAGGUAUGUGAGGGGUAGGUGUCAUUUUCCAUCCAACUUAAUAGAGCAUAUAAACGACGGACCAAUUCUGCUAAAAACGGCAUGAUUGGGGGCUACUAAUGUAACUCCAAAAUGUUUAGGCCAUUUUGAAAAAAAAAUGAUAAAGUUUGAGGACGAAAAAAUGUAUUUUUUGAUAAAUACACUUUUCGUCCCUAUACUUUGUCACUUACUCGAUUUUCGUCCUUCAACAAGAUGAAGUUACAAUUUUCGUUCCUAAACAUGUCACUCUAAUGAUGUUUAUGUCCUUCCGUCCAUUUACCCAGUUAUAAUAGACGGAAAAUAGUAUAUGCGAACGCACGUGACAUCAAAGGCACCCCCCCCACCCCCCCCCCCCCUAAGGGGGCAAUAACGUUCAGAUCGCACAUUGCAAGUAACACAAUCUGCCAUAAUUCUCUCUUGAAAUUCAAAUGCCCUCUUUUCCAAAUCCCUAAUUUCUUCCACAUCUCACCUGUAAAUUUCUACCUUCUAGAAGAAAAAAGCGUUCAAUCACCAAUAGUUUUAUAGAUUACAAUUUCUAGAGUGGAGCUACAGAGUUGUGACAAAUACUAGGGUUCUUCAUCUAAGGACAACAAAAAUGUCGAGAAGAACUUCACUGAUGCCUGAAUGUACUCCGAAUUACGGUAAGUUUCUUUUGUUUAAUUUUUUUUUAAAUCCUACUCAAUAAUUAAAUAUAGUUUGUGUUUGGGAAUUAACAUGUUUCACGAUUAAAAUGAGACAUAGUGGAAUUAUGAGGCACUCUCCAACGAGAAAAUACUUAGGAGGAAGUCUUGAAUUUUUUGAUUUUGUCGAUAUAGAUCAAAUUGGGAUGUUUGACCUUUGGGGUUUUGCUGAGGAGUUGGGGUACACUGAAAAAUGGAGUCUUGUUUUAUGCUUAAGAAUUAAAAAGGUUUUGAUAAACACUACAAGUAUAUUGAGACUGAUGGUGUUGUGUUUAAUAUAAAAGGGCAUAUUCCAAAAAACUAGGAAGUUGAGAUAUUUAUUGAAUAUCUAAACCUGGGAGGGGAUGUGGAAGGUGAAAUUGGGGGUAGGUUAGUCAAUGAAUAUAAUUGAUGAUUUAGGGUUGAAAGGUGAGCAUGACAGUGAAUCUCAUGAAUUUAGUGAGGAUGAUGAUGUGUUUUAUCAAAGUGAUUAUGACAUGGAAGAUGAUGAUAAAUUGUUUGAGCAAUUUGUAAAUUCUAAGGCUGAGUUUGGGGGGUUGGGUAAGGGUAAGUCUGUUGUAGAUGAUGAUUUUAUUAGUGAGGAGAUGCAUAAGGCUGCAAAAUGAAAAAGGUGAUGAAGUUUGUGUAAUUAUUGAUGAUGAAUUUGACAACUCAAAUGGAAGUGAUGAGGAUGUAGGUAAGGGUAGAAUUAAUACAGUUCCCAAAUUUUAAUUCUAAAACUGUGAAUAAGAAUCCAGACAUCAUGCUAGACUUGAUUUAAAAAGGAUGCAAAAUUUUCUAAUUUAAUCCUAUUGUUUUAUGAGGGGUAUGAUGGUGAAAUUUCAAAAUAAUGAUGUCAUUAGACUCGGGAUUGUGUGUAAAAAAUAGGGUUGUGGAUGGUACAUUCAUGUCUCCGAAAUGCAAAAUGACCACUCUUGGCAAGUGAAAACUUAUAACUCAAUUCACACUAAAUGUUCUUGCAACUAUAACAAUACAAUUGCCUUAAGUCUGGUUGGAUUGGCAAACCAUUUAUGAAAAAACUGAAAGGCAAUCCAAAGUUGGGUACAAAUAAAUUAAGACGUGAAAUUUGUAUAACUUUGAAGACCAAUAUAACCAGAUCACAUGCUUACAGGGCAAGAAGAAAGGCAAUAAAAACAAUCUAUGGUACUUUGGAGGAACAAUUUUCAAAAAAUUAUAAUUAUUGUCUACAAAUUGGAAGAACUAAUCAGGUUCUACAGUUAUCAUGAAACCCACUAAGGAGAGAAGAUUUCAUAGGUUACACACGUGUUUCAAUGCAUGUAAGGUUGAGUUUAAAAAUGGUUGUAGGCCUAUAAUUGGGGUGGAUGGUUGUUUCUUAAAGGGUGGGCAUGUAUGUCUACUGUUAACUGCAGUUGAGUUAGAUCCAAACAACAAUAUCUUCAGAAUUGUGCAUGCAAUAGUUGAAUCUGAAACAAAAGAUAUUUGUAUGUGUUUUUUGAACUUGUUGAAUGCAGAUAUUGGAUUUCAAAAUGAACAUUAUUGUACUUUCAUGUCUGACAAGUAAAAAUGGUUAAUUCCUGCCUUUGAAACCUUGUUUCCCAAUGUUGAAAAUAAAUUUUGUGUGAGACAUUUACAUAGAAAUAUAAAGAGGGAUGGGUUCAGUGGGUUGACUGUCAAGACAACAUUAUGGGGAGUACAUGGUUGAGGAAUUUAAUAGAAAAAUGCAAGAGUUGAGAGACUUAGAUGCAGAUACAUAUCAAUGGUUAGUGAAAAAGCCUCCUUAAAACAAUAUGUGUGAAUGUUUCAAUAUAUUGACUAGAUCCCAUUUCAGUCCACAUCCUAAGUGUGACAUCGUACUGAACAAUAUGUGUGAAUGUUUCAAUAGUUUCAUUCUUGACGCAAGAGAAAACCCAAUUAUUUCUUAACUUGAAACUAUUAGAAAUCUGUUAAUGACUAGGAUGCAUGCAAUUUAACAAAGAAAAACUGCAAAAUAGGAAGGUCCCUUGUGUCUCAAAUCUUAAUGAAGAUUAUGAAGGAGGCUGGUGAGUGUAUACCUGAAAUGUGAUGAUUACCAUUUUUAGAUUAUUGGUCCAUUUGACCGACACAUUGUUGACUUGUUGGAGAGAAAGUGUAGCUGUAGAAACUGGAUUUGAGUGGCAUACCUUGUAAAUUAAACAUGCAUGUUCAACAAUAUGGUUUAGAAAUGAGGAGCCUGAAUGAUAUGUACAUAGUUGUUACAAGGCUGAGACAUAUUUACCGAUUUACGAGCCUUCAAUCUUAGGCUUUAAUGGACCUGAGUUGUAGCCCAAAAGUGCAUUAGAACCUCCCUGCCUCCAAACUAUAUUGAAAAAACUGGCAGGCCUCAAAGGCUAAGGAGGCGGGAUCCUGAUGAACCCGCUGCCUCAGGUGCAAAUUCACUUAGAUUGAGAGAAAUUAAAAGAAACAAUAAAUGUAAAAC
Molecule: long non-coding RNA, 3282 nt
Filed under: Erythranthe guttata (spotted monkey flower)
Lineage: Eukaryota; Viridiplantae; Streptophyta; Magnoliopsida; Lamiales; Phrymaceae
Description: long non-coding RNA (EGUT_LNC000160)
Source: RNAcentral